Molecule: non-coding RNA, 31 nt
Filed under: Mus musculus (house mouse)
Lineage: Eukaryota; Metazoa; Chordata; Mammalia; Rodentia; Muridae
Source: RNAcentral
UAGAGGUGCUGUGAUAAAAUCCUGCAGGACC